Molecule: ribosomal RNA, 736 nt
Filed under: Lactiplantibacillus plantarum
Lineage: Bacteria; Bacillati; Bacillota; Bacilli; Lactobacillales; Lactobacillaceae
Description: bacterial SSU rRNA
Rfam family: Bacterial small subunit ribosomal RNA
Source: RNAcentral
GCUAAUACAUGCAAGUCGAACGAACUCUGGUAUUGAUUGGUGCUUGCAUCAUGAUUUACAUUUGAGUGAGUGGCGAACUGGUGAGUAACACGUGGGAAACCUGCCCAGAAGCGGGGGAUAACACCUGGAAACAGAUGCUAAUACCGCAUAACAACUUGGACCGCAUGGUCCGAGUUUGAAAGAUGGCUUCGGCUAUCACUUUUGGAUGGUCCCGCGGCGUAUUAGCUAGAUGGUGGGGUAACGGCUCACCAUGGCAAUGAUACGUAGCCGACCUGAGAGGGUAAUCGGCCACAUUGGGACUGAGACACGGCCCAAACUCCUACGGGAGGCAGCAGUAGGGAAUCUUCCACAAUGGACGAAAGUCUGAUGGAGCAACGCCGCGUGAGUGAAGAAGGGUUUCGGCUCGUAAAACUCUGUUGUUAAAGAAGAACAUAUCUGAGAGUAACUGUUCAGGUAUUGACGGUAUUUAACCAGAAAGCCACGGCUAACUACGUGCCAGCAGCCGCGGUAAUACGUAGGUGGCAAGCGUUGUCCGGAUUUAUUGGGCGUAAAGCGAGCGCAGGCGGUUUUUUAAGUCUGAUGUGAAAGCCUUCGGCUCAACCGAAGAAGUGCAUCGGAAACUGGGAAACUUGAGUGCAGAAGAGGACAGUGGAACUCCAUGUGUAGCGGUGAAAUGCGUAGAUAUAUGGAAGAACACCAGUGGCGAAGGCGGCUGUCUGGCUGUAACUGACGCUGA